GAUGAACGCUGGCGGCGUGCCUAAUACAUGCAAGUCGAGCGAACAGACGAGGAGCUUGCUCCUCUGACGUUAGCGGCGGACGGGUGAGUAAAACGUGGAUAACCUACCUAUAAGACUGGGAUAACUUCGGGAAACCGGAGCUAAUACCGGAUAAUAUAUUGAACCGCAUGGUUCAAUAGUGAAAGACGGUUUUGCUGUCACUUAUAGAUGGAUCCGCGCCGCAUUAGCUAGUUGGUAAGGUAACGGCUUACCAAGGCAACGAUGCGUAGCAGACCUGAGAGGGUGAUCGGCCACACUGGAACUGAGACACGGUCCAGACUCCUACGGGAGGCAGCAGUAGGGAAUCUGCCGCAAUGGGCGAAAGCCUGACGGAGCAACGCCGCGUGAGUGACGAAGGUCUUCGGAUCUUAAAACGCUGUUAUUAGGGAAGAACAAAUGUGUAAGUAACUAUGCACGUCUUGACGGUACCUAAUCAGAAAGCCACGGCUAACUACGCG
This 497-nucleotide ribosomal RNA is filed under the name uncultured bacterium. Its description in RNAcentral is "partial 16S ribosomal RNA". It matches the Rfam family "Bacterial small subunit ribosomal RNA", at positions 28 to 507 of the family's 1533-position model. The record is from RNAcentral.